RNAcentral lists this ribosomal RNA (497 nucleotides) under uncultured bacterium. RNAcentral's name for it is "partial 16S ribosomal RNA". It matches the Rfam family "Bacterial small subunit ribosomal RNA", at positions 28 to 507 of the family's 1533-position model. The record is from RNAcentral.
GACGAACGCUGGCGGCGUGCCUAACACAUGCAAGUAGAACGGUGAAGAGCGGAGUUUGCUCUUCUUGGGUGAGGCGAGAAGGGGUGAGUCACGUGUAUGUAACCUGCUUUGUAGCGGGGGAUAAUCAUGGGAAACGAUAGCUAAUAGGGCAUAACAUUGUGUUGCACGUGUGGGUUAGUUGAGAUGCGCAAUUGGGGCAUGAAAUGACGGACCUGCGUUGUAUUAGUGAGUAGGUGCGGUAAUGGGGCACUUAGGCGUAGUUACAUAGCCGACCUGAGAGGGUGGUCGGCCACACUGGGACUGUGACACGGCCCAGACUCCUUCGGGAGGCAGCCGUAGGGAAUCUUCAGCCAUGGGUGCAGCCCGGACCGAGCAACGCGGCGUGAGUGAAGAAGGUUGCCGCGUCGUGAAGCUCUGUUGUAAGUCAGGAACGGGUGUGAGAGUGGGAAGUUCAGACUGUGACGGUAGCUGACCAAGAAGCGCCGGCUAACUACGUG